Molecule: ribosomal RNA, 588 nt
Filed under: Paramixogaster sp. 1 GS-2013
Lineage: Eukaryota; Metazoa; Arthropoda; Insecta; Diptera; Syrphidae
Description: partial 28S ribosomal RNA
Source: RNAcentral
AGUACGUGAAACUGCUUAGAGGUUAAGCCUGAUGAACCUGAAUAUUUUUAAUGGAAAAUUCAUCGCUAUUAUUAUAAUAUAUAUAAAAUAUUAUAAAAAUGGUGUGCAUUUUUUUCAUAAAGAACAUUGUAAUCGGUUAGUAAAUUAAAAUUUUAUCAAAAAAUUCGUUAAAAAGAGUUUAUUCUAAUUAGAUUAAUUUAUUAGUCUAAAAUUGAAUAAAUUUUAUGAAUUUGAUAAAUUAUUGACCGAUUUAUUUGUAAUAAUGUAAUAAUUUUCUUCGGAAAUUUUACAAUAUAUAUUUAUAUAUUCUUUGAAUAUAUUUCUAUUUAUUGUAUACAUUUUUACGAUUUACAAUGCUAUAAAUUCAGGAUACCUUCGGGACCCGUCUUGAAACACGGACCAAGGAGUCUAACAUAUGUGCAAGUCGUUGAGUAUUUUAUAUAAAACUUAAAGGCAUAAUUAACUUAACUGUUUUAAUGGGAUUAGUUUUUUAUGUUUUUUUUUUCUAAAAAAAUGUUUAAAAUUCAAUCCCAGGGCGUUCUAUAUAGUUAUGCAUAAUGAUAUUUAUAUUAUUUAUGUCUCUAACUA